This is a long non-coding RNA of Mangifera indica (mango), 388 nucleotides long. RefSeq lists it as uncharacterized. Lineage: Eukaryota; Viridiplantae; Streptophyta; Magnoliopsida; Sapindales; Anacardiaceae. The record is from RefSeq and is a predicted model, not a curated record. The transcript has 2 exons.
UGGAUGCUUGAUUAUGCACUUCAACAGGUUGUUGCUAAACUAAGUCCAGCUCGGAAGAGAAAAGUGGCGAUGCUUGUAGAAGCGUUUGAAACAGUCACUCCCACUUUGGAAAUUAAAUUAUAAAUCCAUUAGGUAUGAUUAUGGAGUAACGGGGUGAUGACAAGGGAGCUAGUGGGUUAGCUCGAGAUAUUGCAUAAGAUAGGGGCAUUUUGGUCAUUUUACAUGUCGAACCACAUUGAUGUAUUUUUGGGUUAUUCACAUUUUCACAUUUCUUUAUGCACAAUAGUUAUUAUAAAUACUCCUUUGGGGAUUAUGAAAAUUUAUUAUUCAUGUUUUUGCCAUGUAUGUUAUGUAAGAAAUUUUAAGUCAACACGUCUUUUUGAGUGCA